UUUCAAAGCAUCUGGUCAGAUCUCAUGGAAUUUCUUGGCUGCUACAUGUUCAGUCAGAGAGAAAGAAAUAGUGGGGAGAGUCCAUGAUCACCUUGUAGCAUUUCACUGGAUGCCUCAGAAGAGCAGAUGGGGAUAGUGAGCAGUGGAUAAGGACAGCUAAAGAGCCAAUGUCAGGACAGCAUGAUCCCUGGUAUCCCUGGGAAGGAUUGCUGCAUGGAGGGCUAUGAAGAGGCAUGUACCUCUUGAGACCUGCCAGGACUUUCAGGACUUACUGCCAAGGUAAAUCCAACUCUUUUUCCUUUUGGGGCUAUCUAGAUACUAUGGUCAGUUAUUGUCAUGAAGUGCUUGGCUUUGAUGAAGGGAAACUUUUCUGACAGUGUUCUCAUGAAGGAGUAGUUCAGAUUUGCUUCUCAUUCCCUAUGUCCUCUGUAUCUUUGAUCCAGUUCCUUCUUCUGACUCAUUCUUUUUUUUUUUUUUCCUUAUCACUUGUUCUGAAAAUACAUGGCCUUUGAAC
Molecule: long non-coding RNA, 514 nt
Filed under: Athene cunicularia (burrowing owl)
Lineage: Eukaryota; Metazoa; Chordata; Aves; Strigiformes; Strigidae
Description: lncRNA (ENSACUG00000009856.1)
Source: RNAcentral